GACGAACGCUGGCGGCGUGCCUAAUACAUGCAAGUAGAACGCUGAAGGAGGAGCUUGCUUCUCUGGAUGAGUUGCGAACGGGUGAGUAACGCGUAGGUAACCUGCCUGGUAGCGGGGGAUAACUAUUGGAAACGAUAGCUAAUACCGCAUAAUAGUAGAUGUUGCAUGACAUUUGCUUAAAAGGUGCAAUUGCAUCACUACCAGAUGGACCUGCGUUGUAUUAGCUAGUUGGUGAGGUAACGGCUCACCAAGGCAACGAUACAUAGCCGACCUGAGAGGGUGAUCGGCCACACUGGGACUGAGACACGGCCCAGACUCCUACGGGAGGCAGCAGUAGGGAAUCUUCGGCAAUGGGCGGAAGUCUGACCGAGCAACGCCGCGUGAGUGAAGAAGGUUUUCGGAUCGUAAAGCUCUGUUGUAAGGGAAGAACGAGUGUGAGAGUGGAAAGUUCACACUGUGACGGUAUCUUACCAGAAAGGGACGGCUAACUACGUG
RNAcentral lists this ribosomal RNA (495 nucleotides) under uncultured bacterium. RNAcentral's name for it is "partial 16S ribosomal RNA". It matches the Rfam family "Bacterial small subunit ribosomal RNA", at positions 28 to 507 of the family's 1533-position model. The record is from RNAcentral.